RNAcentral lists this ribosomal RNA (301 nucleotides) under uncultured bacterium. RNAcentral describes it as "partial 16S ribosomal RNA". It matches the Rfam family "Bacterial small subunit ribosomal RNA", at positions 509 to 807 of the family's 1533-position model. The record is from RNAcentral.
CAGUCGCCGCGGGAAUACGAAGGGGGCUAGCGUUGUUCGGAUUUACUGGGCGUAAAGGGCGCGUAGGCGGGCUGAUCAGUCAGGGGUGAAAUCCCAAGGCUCAGCCUUGGAACUGCCUUUGAUACUGUCGGUCUUGAGUUCGGGAGAGGUAAGUGGAACUGCGAGCGUAGAGGUGAAAUUCGUAGAUAUUCGCAAGAACACCAGUGGCGAAGGCGGCUUACUGGCUCGAAACUGACGCUGAGGCGCGAAAGCGUGGGGAGCAAACAGGAUUAGAUACCCGCGUAGUCCCUGUCUCUUAUAC